AACCGCCGUAUGCGGAAUCGCAUGUACGGUGGUGUGAGAGGUCGGUGAACACGAAAGUGGAAAUAAACACCUAUCAUUAGUGUUUACCUCCUACUCGAU
RNAcentral lists this non-coding RNA (99 nucleotides) under Hoylesella timonensis CRIS 5C-B1. Lineage: Bacteria; Pseudomonadati; Bacteroidota; Bacteroidia; Bacteroidales; Prevotellaceae. The record is from RNAcentral.